RNAcentral lists this transfer RNA (72 nucleotides) under Camelus bactrianus (Bactrian camel). It matches the Rfam family "tRNA". From Rfam's summary of the family: Transfer RNA (tRNA) molecules are approximately 80 nucleotides in length. Lineage: Eukaryota; Metazoa; Chordata; Mammalia; Artiodactyla; Camelidae. The record is from Rfam by way of RNAcentral. RNAcentral also lists the same sequence under 2 other names.
GAGGGUGUAGCUCAGUGGUAGAGUGUAUGCUUUGCAUGCACAAGGUCCUGGAUUCAAUCCCCAGUACCGUCC